UACAGAGGGUGCAAGCGUUAAUCGGAAUUACUGGGCGUAAAGCGCGCGUAGACGGUUGCGUAAGUCAGAUGUGAAAGCCCCGGGCUCAACCUGGGAAUUGCAUUUGAGACUGCGUAGCUAGGGUGCGGAAGAGGGAAGCGGAAUUUCCGGUGUAGCGGUGAAAUGCGUAGAUAUCGGAAGGAACACCAGUGGCGAAAGCGGCUUCCUGGUCCAGCACCGACGUUCAGGCACGAAAGCGUGGGGAGCAAACAGG
Molecule: ribosomal RNA, 253 nt
Filed under: uncultured bacterium
Lineage: Bacteria
Description: partial 16S ribosomal RNA
Rfam family: Bacterial small subunit ribosomal RNA
Source: RNAcentral